Molecule: unclassified non-coding RNA, 210 nt
Filed under: Hevea brasiliensis (rubber tree)
Lineage: Eukaryota; Viridiplantae; Streptophyta; Magnoliopsida; Malpighiales; Euphorbiaceae
Source: RNAcentral
ACUGUUCCCAACUUGGUGGCUUCUUCUUUUGCAAUGGAAAUUGCAAAGAGACAUCCGAAGAAGAUGAUUGCUGAUACAACCAAUCCACAAGCUCUCCACGAACCAGCCAUCGAUAACAACUCUUCUUUCUCCUUCCUUCCUUCGCUUUCGUUUCCUUUUCUCUCUUCAAGUGGGGUGUUUCAACGUUUUAAAGCUAUUUUUAAUGGUGCG